AGAAAGCAAAGGGAACAGAGAGAAAGGUGUCAGGCACCCUAGCAGAAUGUGUCUGCAGGCGUUUGUGUCCUAGGCAACCUAGGGAACAAAGUCUGACCAAUAUUUCAAAAGGAUUCCCCAAGCCUCACGCUCAUUCUGCACACAAAGGCUGGGUUCCAAGGCUGGACUUGUCACUCUUGCGGUCACUUAGUGUACAGUCAUUGGUCAUACCUCUGCCACCUGCAGAAAUGCAAAGCGCUGUCUCCAACUCCUACCUCCACCUUGUAAUUACACAGACCCUGUUUUCAGGAUGAGCUCAUUCUCCACACAGACAUGACCUCACCUGGGCUUGACAUUUUCACAAAAGGGCUGGUGCAUUAACGUGCGGGGAGUGACGCGGGACAUCAAAGGCGGUGAGCACCUUGCCUGGGGGAUACGCACUCAAGUCAGGUGGAGCCCCGUCGGCGGUGGUGUGUGACAUCAGAUCUUGGAUUCUCCACCUGUGUAGGUGGCACUGGGCGAGAGGACUGGGCUUUGGACUUCUCACCUUUCUGAGUGCCGCUGGUUGGGCGUAGAAAACGGAGGAAGCGGCUGCGGCCCAGGAGGAAACAGGUGCCAGCCAGCAAUCAACUCUUCAUGGAAAGGAGCUGUUGUUCUUGGAAACCAAUUCCAGUUAUCAGGGAACAGCCGCAGGCUUCCUACCUCGUUUGUAGUGGGGAAAUAAGAUUCACGAGGCUGAUGCUCGCCCCAGGUGCACGCCCAACAGUGCGGUAAGGAAAGCUGCGGGAGGAAGAUUACAUUGCAUCUCCGUGUGGCUCUCCAGGUCCGCCGCGGGGCUCAGGUCACCUGCCAGGGCCUUCGCGGAAAUAUCCA
Long non-coding RNA from Oryctolagus cuniculus (rabbit), 852 nucleotides. RefSeq lists it as uncharacterized. The record is from RefSeq and is a predicted model, not a curated record. NCBI's taxonomy places the organism in Eukaryota, Metazoa, Chordata, Mammalia, Lagomorpha, Leporidae.